Molecule: non-coding RNA, 27 nt
Filed under: Homo sapiens (human)
Lineage: Eukaryota; Metazoa; Chordata; Mammalia; Primates; Hominidae
Source: RNAcentral
ACUCGCUGACGGAUUUGGACUUGGAGC